CGUAUGGUUUCUCGUGUCCAACUUUAAUUGUUCGUCUUAUAUAAAAUAAAAUUCGUAUUUUUAUUGUUGUUAGAUGAUAAAACAUGAUUAAUAUUUUAUGCGUGACUUGUCUUUUUAAUUUUUUUCAUAAUUUUUUUAAAUAAGACGGACGGUUAAACGUUGGGCACGGAAACUAGGGUUUGUCUUUUU
Non-coding RNA from Oryza nivara, 189 nucleotides. NCBI's taxonomy places the organism in Eukaryota, Viridiplantae, Streptophyta, Magnoliopsida, Poales, Poaceae. The record is from Rfam.